AAUUAAACUACAAAUUGUUCGCCAAACAACUACGAGUAAUACUUAAAACUUAAAAGACUUGACGGUACUUCACCCCGACCUAGAGGAGCCUGUCUAAUAACCGAUAACCCACGAUUAACCCAACCACUUCUUGCCCUACAGUCUAUAUACCGCCGUCGCCAGCUUACCUUGUAAAAGAAAUAAAGUGAGCCAAAUAGUAACACACUAAAACGACAGGUCGAGGUGUAACCUAUGAAGAGGCUAAGAUGGGCUACAUUCUCUAACAGAGAUACGAACAACACUAUGAAAUUAGUGUUCGAAGGCGGAUUUAGCAGUAAGAUAAGAAUAGAACACCUAACUGAAAAUAACGCAAUGAAGUGCGCACACACCGCCCGUCACCCCUGCCACCAC
This 390-nucleotide ribosomal RNA is filed under the name Trimeresurus albolabris (white-lipped tree viper). RNAcentral's name for it is "partial 12S ribosomal RNA". The record is from RNAcentral. Lineage: Eukaryota; Metazoa; Chordata; Lepidosauria; Squamata; Viperidae.